GAACUGUUUUUUAUGAUAGUUACGAAUAAUUAUUGUUAAUUACAGGCUAAGCUUUAAUUGCUAGAAUUUAGCAAAGUUCCUAAAAAAAAAUAUAUGACAUUACACAAUAUUAUUAUUACAUCGAUUUUCACCGUUCCGACACGUUUUACAACUAUUUCGAUAGCGCAACCAAAACAAAUACAAAAAAAAAUUCUAGUUAAAAUAACAUAAAAUAUUAAAACUUGCAUUAUUUUUGUUUGAAACCGAAAAGUGUUUAAAGAGCACAACUCCGUUCCCGUACCCAGGGGAUCGUACGAUUCGCAUUGCAAAUUAACAUUAGAAUUAAGCACUAGACAAAACGAAACGCUCUAAAACAGCUCUAAUCCAAAAAUAAUAAUUAAACAAUUAAAUUGAGCUACACAAAAAAAGUAUUUAGUAUACAAUAUAUGGGUAUGCAAGGUAUUACAUAAGAAUAUCUAAGCAUAAACAUUGAAUUUCGCUAUUAAACAAAAACAAAAUCAAAUAAAAACAAUUAACGUGGCCCUGACAAACACUUCAAAAAAAUCUCCCGACCCACUACCACUCACCGCUCCAAUUAAACUCUUAAGAAACAAAAAAAAAACAGUAUAAAAACGAAAAAAAACACCAUCAAAUCUGAUAAGAAUGCUCUCUCUCUCUCAAGGACAAUGGCAAUGGUUUUGAUAACGCACUGGGGUAUGGGUGGGGGGGGGGGGGGGGGGGGGGGGGGGGGGGGGGAGAGCAGGAGGAGUACGAAAAUCAGCCUUGGUC
Molecule: long non-coding RNA, 768 nt
Filed under: Drosophila guanche
Lineage: Eukaryota; Metazoa; Arthropoda; Insecta; Diptera; Drosophilidae
Source: RNAcentral